Molecule: long non-coding RNA, 1216 nt
Organism: Anoplophora glabripennis (Asian longhorned beetle)
Lineage: Eukaryota; Metazoa; Arthropoda; Insecta; Coleoptera; Cerambycidae
Exons: 3
Source: RefSeq, a predicted model, not a curated record
CAAACUAUUGUUUAAAUAUGUUCUAGACAAGGCAACUAACAAAAAUGAAUAGCAGUUAGUUAAAAAUAGUAUUCUGUUAACUCCAGUAAUCAUUUGACAGCAGUUAUUACCAGAUUUUACUUGUCUAAAUAUUUUGAAAAAUUUUAACAGCUGAAAGGAAUUAAAAAAAUCAUAAAAACAAAAACAAAAUGGCUCUUACUAUGUUAUAGUAAUGUUCUUGAUUAAACUGUGUUUGACAAGUCUUUUUUUGGACACCUAUGAAUGGUGAAGAAGAGGCAACCAGAUUAUUUUAUUCUAAGUUUUGCAUAAUAUUGGUUUCAUUCUAUCUGAUUACUAUGUUAACCAAAAAUAAAUUUUUGGAUAAUUUUUUUUCAUUAAAAAAUAUUGUAAUUGGUCUUUUUAAAAUAAUUCUCUUUGUUUACAAUGGAAUUUUAAAUGUAUAAUUUCACAAAUUACAAUUACUUGUACCUAAGCAUUCUAAGCAAUUAUUAAAUGUUACAACAAAAUGUACUUGUUUACCAAAACUGAAACAUAUUAUUUGACAAAAUAUUCAAUAUUUCUUUCAAAUGACAUUCUUAUUGGUUUAAAACUAGUAUUUGACUAGGACAGUUAAUUUUGUUUAAUUUAUGUCACAUAUCAAACCUCAGACAAAUCAGUUUCAAACUUUUGACAAGUUUUUCAGGUAAUUAUUUGAAAGUAGUCAUUCCCUUUAAAAUUUAAACUUUAAAUAAAAGGUGAUUAUUUAAUUGCAUAAGAAAAUUUUUAUAUCCAGCAAGAUGGCAAUUACUAUAUUUGACAUUGUGAUGAUGAUUGUAUUUAAAAUAUGUCUGUUUAUGAUAUUUCUUUCAUCACCAACUGAAGAGGAUAACGAAACUACAGUAUUUUUCAUUAAAAUAUAUGGGAUACUAGUAGUCUUCUAUUUGACUAUAAUAUUUCUACGAAGAUUCCCAUAAAAUGGACAAGAUGUCUUCGUAUAGUCCCUCGGUUCAAUGUUGGAAUUUAAUAAAUUUAAUUACCGUUGUAAUUUUUUGACCUGAAAAAAUGUCAUAAAAACAAUUGUAUUUACAAUUGACUAAUUUUAUGUAUAACGUAUAAUCUAAGUAGUUUCAGAUUACAAGAGAUUUAUAAUCGGGUUAUUAUACUUUAUGCACAUAAAAAAAUUUGUAUCGACUGCUCGAUUUCUUCUAUAUAAGUAAUUAAAGUUAAGCACAUCUUU